UACAUGUGGGGCAAGCGUUGUUCGGAAUUACUGGGCAUAAAGGGUGCGUAGGUGGUGGGGUAAGUCGGAUGUGAAAUCCCGGGGCUCAACCCCGGAACUGCAUUCGAUACUGCCUUGCUCGAGUACUGGAGAGGAGACUGGAAUUCACGGUGUAGCAGUGAAAUGCGUAGAUAUCGUAAGGAAGACCAGUGGCGAAGGCGAGUCUCUGGACAGUUACUGACACUGAGGCACGAAGGCCAGGGGAGCAAACGGG
This 253-nucleotide ribosomal RNA is filed under the name uncultured bacterium. RNAcentral's name for it is "partial 16S ribosomal RNA". It matches the Rfam family "Bacterial small subunit ribosomal RNA", at positions 524 to 776 of the family's 1533-position model. The record is from RNAcentral.